Molecule: long non-coding RNA, 1073 nt
Organism: Astatotilapia calliptera (eastern happy)
Lineage: Eukaryota; Metazoa; Chordata; Actinopteri; Cichliformes; Cichlidae
Source: Ensembl
UACUGUGAAUUUUGCCUCACUGACUUGUAUACUGAUUUUCUAGCUUAUCCAAAGAAACAAAAAUGUAGACAUUUUCCCUGUAGUCAAGAGAAGUAGGACGGAGGGAGAUUUAACUCAAAAAAAUGUAUGAUUUAGUAAAAAGAAGUUGAAUUAAGUUAAUUGUUGUUAGCAAACAGAGUUUUAAAGGGGGGGUGGGGUACGGGAGUAAAAUAAAGUAUUCAUAUAUAGCUGUAUAGCUGGAUUAAAAGGGAUCAUAUUUAGUGCCAGCGGAAUGAGCCACUGCUCAGACUGUGAACCUUUGGUUUUGUAUUUUUUGUUUUUUUCUCUGCUAAUUUUUGCCAUGCUAGAGUAAGGAAUCAAGAAGAUUGGGAUUUCCACUCAUAAGUGCAUCUUAUGAUCCAGUUGUGCUUAUCCUCAGAUCUUGUUUUUCCCCAUUCAGCUGACUCUUCAGGACCUUGAUUUAGCGCUUUGAUUUAAUUCAACAUUGUGAUUUACCAAUUGUGUUAGAAGGAUACAGGGAUUCAAAUUGUGAUUUAAGCACAGCAAAACAUGAUCCACAGCUGCUAUGAUUGGCAACUCCAAGCAUAGGGUAAUAAUUGCAAAAAUUAAGCUUUCAUUAUUCUGACGGUCAGAAUUUGUUAAAGUGGAAAAUUAUGAAGUUUUUUUUUUUAAAUAUCACUCUAAAUUAUGUUUGUUUGUUUGUUUGUUUUAAUCUAGAAUUUGUGUUCGUACUUAGUUUUUUCACUGAAUUCGCCACAAGCUCUGAUCACCAAGUUCUGCAUCGGUGAUGUUAAGGCUUAUAUGUUUAAUGCAGUUAUCAAAAUACCUGCUUAAUAAAACUGUUUCAACAUUUAAAAUGUCUGAUAAUAGAAAACCCUUUGAGCUAGCUAUAAUUUUUUAUAUAGUCCUACGUUUCCCUGAAUCUACAUGCAUAAGAAGUAUAGAGGCCAACAAAGGAUGACACACAUAGGAAGUUUCAAAACAGCUCUGGUUUUCUGUUGUAAUAACCACAACUGUAUGUAAUGUCAAGACUAAUGAUGCAUAAUGAUGCAUGACGCGUAAUGCAAUAAAAA